CAUGAUGCUGUCAAUACAAUACUCUAUCAAUAGCUACUCCAUCGUCGCCUUUUUAUAACAAAACGAAUUUUCGCCACGGUCAAGACAAAAAAUUAAAUUCAAUACUUACCAACUGCAAAAGGUUUUGUAAGUAGAACUUUGGGAUUUUUUAGUCCAAGCCCAUUCCAUCUCAAGCUGCAGAGUCAUUUCAUGCUACUUACAUUAAAGGUAAUUUUACUACAAAAGUUUGUGGAGAAUAUAAUAAUUUUAUCUCUACCUAUCUAAUUCAUAUCAUUUUGGUUCACCUUUGAAGUUACCGGAAGAGGAAGGUACGAGCAAUGUAUUGCGCUUCUUCCGUGCAGUAGAGAGAGAAAGUGUGAUGAUCUUCCGUGCAGUAGAGAGAGAGAGUGUGGUGAGGGAACUGCUACACAUGCAUCUGAAAAUUUUGACUAAACGUUUCUUGAUUUCGACCUAAU
Molecule: long non-coding RNA, 455 nt
Filed under: Erythranthe guttata (spotted monkey flower)
Lineage: Eukaryota; Viridiplantae; Streptophyta; Magnoliopsida; Lamiales; Phrymaceae
Description: long non-coding RNA (EGUT_LNC003691)
Source: RNAcentral